GAAUCUUUGAACGCACAUUGCGCCCUCUGGUAUUCCGGAGGGCAUGCCUGUUCGAGCGUC
RNAcentral lists this ribosomal RNA (60 nucleotides) under Phyllosticta aristolochiicola. RNAcentral describes it as "partial 5.8S ribosomal RNA". It matches the Rfam family "5.8S ribosomal RNA", at positions 94 to 153 of the family's 154-position model. Rfam says of the family: 5.8S ribosomal RNA (5.8S rRNA) is a component of the large subunit of the eukaryotic ribosome. It is transcribed by RNA polymerase I as part of the 45S precursor that also contains 18S and 28S rRNA. Lineage: Eukaryota; Fungi; Ascomycota; Dothideomycetes; Botryosphaeriales; Phyllostictaceae. The record is from RNAcentral.